CACCACUCAAGCACUGCUUGGUAUUGGGCAUCGUCCGUCGAAAGACGGGCGUGCCUCGAAGACCUCGGCGGGGCCUAACCGGCUUCGGGCGUAGUAGAGUUAAAUCGAACGUCUUAUAAGUCUGGUUAGAACCCAUUGCCGUAAAACCUUUAUUUUUCUA
Molecule: unclassified non-coding RNA, 160 nt
Filed under: Rhizosphaera macrospora
Lineage: Eukaryota; Fungi; Ascomycota; Dothideomycetes; Dothideales; Dothideaceae
Also listed under: 2 other names
Description: partial internal transcribed spacer 2
Source: RNAcentral